GAGUUUGAUCAUGGCUCAGAUUGAACGCUGGCGGCAGGCCUAACACAUGCAAGUCGAACGGUAGCACAGAGGAGCUUGCUCCUUGGGUGACGAGUGGCGGACGGGUGAGUAAUGUCUGGGAAACUGCCCGAUGGAGGGGGAUAACUACUGGAAACGGUAGCUAAUACCGCAUAACGUCGCAAGACCAAAGAGGGGGACCUUCGGGCCUCUUGCCAUCGGAUGUGCCCAGAUGGGAUUAGCUAGUAGGUGGGGUAACGGCUCACCUAGGCGACGAUCCCUAGCUGGUCUGAGAGGAUGACCAGCCACACUGGAACUGAGACACGGUCCAGACUCCUACGGGAGGCAGCAGUGGGGAAUAUUGCACAAUGGGCGCAAGCCUGAUGCAGCCAUGCCGCGUGUAUGAAGAAGGCCUUCGGGUUGUAAAG
This 425-nucleotide ribosomal RNA is filed under the name Citrobacter freundii. RNAcentral's name for it is "bacterial SSU rRNA". It matches the Rfam family "Bacterial small subunit ribosomal RNA", at positions 9 to 430 of the family's 1533-position model. RNAcentral also lists the same sequence under 1 other name. Lineage: Bacteria; Pseudomonadati; Pseudomonadota; Gammaproteobacteria; Enterobacterales; Enterobacteriaceae. The record is from RNAcentral.